CUGGCCGCUCCCGUACCGCCCGCCCGCGCGCCCAGGGGAGCGUGUCCCUCAGCCCCAAGCCGCCGGGCGCUGCCCCGUCAGGAGGGCGUGAGGGCGGACCCGGCAGCCAGCCAGGGUGUGAUGCUACCCCGACUGCUCCGGUGCUGCCUCAAGCCCGAACUCGGGGGUUUCUGAAAGCACCUGAGCGUAAACAGAAGUUACUCGGGCAGGAGAAUCUGGAGCUCAGAAAAGGUGCCAGACUGAUGGAGCUGGAAGCCAAGGCCUUUGCUGCUUUUCAUGCUGCCACACUGGUGUUUAAUCCAACUUUUAGAAGCUGGAUGGAACUCACAAGCUAUCUGGUCAGGACACCAGAACAUAAAUUGUUUGGUGCAACCCUUCAGAAGACGAUCUAAAAGAUCACUACUAAUGAGUUUCCAUGAAAAUGAACUGUAAACUGCCAUUAAGUAAUGGUCACAAUACUGUCUUUAACUAUGACUAUCUCCUUUUAGUAUCUUGGGGCUGUACCUAUGGAUGCUACAUACAAAAAUACAAUAUAGAAAAUGAAAAUAAAAAUAGGAAUAGAAGAUUUGGUGUUCCCUUU
This 580-nucleotide long non-coding RNA is filed under the name Cyanistes caeruleus (blue tit). Its description in RNAcentral is "lncRNA (ENSCCEG00000010202.1)". Lineage: Eukaryota; Metazoa; Chordata; Aves; Passeriformes; Paridae. The record is from RNAcentral.